GUAGCUCAGUGGUAGAGCGCUUGUCUUGCAUGCAUGAGGCCCUGGGUUCAAUUCUUCAGC
This 60-nucleotide transfer RNA is filed under the name Dipodomys ordii (Ord's kangaroo rat). It matches the Rfam family "tRNA", at positions 7 to 64 of the family's 71-position model. Rfam says of the family: Transfer RNA (tRNA) molecules are approximately 80 nucleotides in length. Their secondary structure includes four short double-helical elements and three loops (D, anti-codon, and T loops). Lineage: Eukaryota; Metazoa; Chordata; Mammalia; Rodentia; Heteromyidae. The record is from Rfam by way of RNAcentral.